Molecule: non-coding RNA, 156 nt
Organism: Populus trichocarpa (black cottonwood)
Lineage: Eukaryota; Viridiplantae; Streptophyta; Magnoliopsida; Malpighiales; Salicaceae
Source: Rfam
UCUAGAACUCGAGAUAUGGGCUGAACACUGAACAGUGUCUGGGCUGCAGGACAUAUUCAGACUUCUCUGUUGUUGCUGCAAUUUGGACUUGAAAACGGCCUUUUUACAUCUUGGACUCCGCAUGAAAGUUUUAGGCCUAUGUCUUAGCUUUCCAUC